UCCAGACUCCUACGGGAGGCAGCAGUGAGGAAUAUUGGUCAAUGGCCGAGAGGCUGAACCAGCCAAGUCGCGUGAGGGAUGACGGCCCUACGGGUUGUAAACCUCUUUUGUCGGGGAGCAAAGAGAGUCACGUGUGGCUCAUUGAGAGUACCCGAAGAAAAAGCAUCGGCUAACUCCGUGCCAGCAGCCGCGGUAAUACGGAGGAUGCGAGCGUUAUCCGGAUUUAUUGGGUUUAAAGGGUGCGCAGGCGGAGGUGCAAGUCAGUGGUCAAAUUGCGGGGCUCAACCCCGUACUGCCGUUGAAACUGGCAGACUUGAGUUGGCGAGAAGUACGCGGAAUGCGCGGUGUAGCGGUGAAAUGCAUAGAUAUCGCGCAGAACUCCGAUUGCGAAGGCAGCGUACCGGCGCCAGACUGACGCUGAGGCACGAAAGCGUGGGGAUCGAACAGGAUUAGAUACCCUAGUA
Molecule: ribosomal RNA, 464 nt
Filed under: uncultured bacterium
Lineage: Bacteria
Description: bacterial SSU rRNA
Rfam family: Bacterial small subunit ribosomal RNA
Source: RNAcentral